This is a microRNA precursor of Gallus gallus (chicken), 68 nucleotides long. The record is from Ensembl. Lineage: Eukaryota; Metazoa; Chordata; Aves; Galliformes; Phasianidae.
AUGUGGAGGCAGCGGGGUCAGGGGGUGCGAGGGGCUGCUGCCAUCCUGACCCCCUGUCCUCACACAGU